This 331-nucleotide ribosomal RNA is filed under the name uncultured bacterium. RNAcentral describes it as "bacterial SSU rRNA". It matches the Rfam family "Bacterial small subunit ribosomal RNA", at positions 568 to 898 of the family's 1533-position model. The record is from RNAcentral.
UGCGUAGGCGGUCCCGCAAGUCCGCUGUGAAAGCCCCGGGCUUAACCUGGGAAUGGCAGUGGAAACUAGGGGACUUGAAUCCGGCAGAGGGGGGUGGAAUGCCACGUGUAGCAGUGAAAUGCGUAGAGAUGUGACGGAACACCGAUGGCGAAGGCAGCCCCCUGGGUUGAGAUUGACGCUCAGGCACGAAAGCGUGGGGAGCAAACAGGAUUAGAUACCCUGGUAGUCCACGCCCUAAACGAUGAUCACUAGGUGGUUGGGGAAGCGAUUUCUCAGUACCGCAGCUAACGCGUGAAGUGAUCCGCCUGGGGAGUACGGUCGCAAGAUUAAA